RNAcentral lists this long non-coding RNA (256 nucleotides) under Coffea arabica (coffee). RNAcentral describes it as "long non-coding RNA (CARA_LNC005786)". Lineage: Eukaryota; Viridiplantae; Streptophyta; Magnoliopsida; Gentianales; Rubiaceae. The record is from RNAcentral.
UCUUACUUCUGUCUUCGUCGUCCUCGCGUGACCUUUAGUUCUCGUUUGUUUAGCGCCUUGCACUGGCUUCUCCUCUCUUCUCGUUGUCGUUCUCUCUAUUUCUCUUUUCCUCUUCCUCUAGGGUUAGAUACAUUCUCAGACUUUGUUUCCUCCUCCGCCGCCGCAUCGUCUCCCUCUCCUCUCCUCUUCUAUAUCGGCUCGUUCUCUACCGUUUCUUCUUCUGUUUUCUUAUUUUUUAGUUUUCCCGUCUUUUUCU